UUCCAGGUGUAGCGGUGAAAUGCGUAGAUAUCUGGAGGAACAUCAGUGGCGAAGGCGACUCCCUGGCCAAAGACUGACGCUCAUGUGCGAAAGUGUGGGUAGCGAACAGGAUUAGAUACCCUGGUAGUCCACACCGUAAACGCUGUCUACUAGCUGUGUGUGAAUUUAAUUCGUGCGUAGCGAAGCUAACGCGCUAAGUAGACCGCCUGGGGAGUACGGCCGCAAGGUUAAAACUCAAAUGAAUUGACGGGGGCCCGCACAAGCGGUGGAGCAUGUGGUUUAAUUCGAUGCAACGCGAAGAACCUUACCUACACUUGACAUGCAGAGAACUUUCCAGAGAUGGGUUGGUGCCUUCGGGAACUCUGACACAGGUGCUGCAUGGCUGUCGUCAGCUCGUGUCGUGAGAUGUUGGGUUAAGUCCCGCAACGAGCGCAACCCUUGUCCUUAGUUGCCAGCCUUAAGUUGGGCACUCUAAGGAGACUGCCGGUGACAAACCGGAGGAAGGUGGGGACGACGCCAAGUCAUCAUGGCCCUUACGUGUAGGGCUACACACGUGCUACAAUGGCAUUUACAGAGGGAAGCAAACUUGCGAGAGUAAGCGGAUCCCUUAAAGAAUGUCGUAGCCCGGAUUGGAGUCUGCAACUCGACUCCAUGAAGUCGGAAUCGCUAGUAAUCGCAAAUCAGAAUGUUGCGGUGAAUACGUUCCCGGGCCUUGUACACACCGCCCGUCACACCAUGGGAGUGGGAUGCAAAAGAAGUAGUUAGUUUAACCUUCGGGAGAACGAUUACCACUUUGUGUUUCAUGACUGGGGUGAAGUCGUAACAAGGUAACCGUA
Molecule: ribosomal RNA, 836 nt
Filed under: uncultured bacterium
Lineage: Bacteria
Description: bacterial SSU rRNA
Rfam family: Bacterial small subunit ribosomal RNA
Source: RNAcentral